RNAcentral lists this ribosomal RNA (839 nucleotides) under Brachybacterium zhongshanense. RNAcentral describes it as "bacterial SSU rRNA". It matches the Rfam family "Bacterial small subunit ribosomal RNA", at positions 49 to 901 of the family's 1533-position model. The record is from RNAcentral. Lineage: Bacteria; Bacillati; Actinomycetota; Actinomycetes; Micrococcales; Dermabacteraceae.
CUACCAUGCAGUCGACGAUGACGGUGGUGCUUGCACUGCCUGAUUAGUGGCGAACGGGUGAGUAACACGUGAGUAACCUGCCCCCCACUCUGGGAUAACCUCGGGAAAUCGGGGCUAAUACCGGAUAUGAAUUGUCACCGCAUGGUGGUGGUUGGAAAGUUUUUCGGUGGGGGAUGGGCUCGCGGCCUAUCAGUUUGUUGGUGAGGUAGUGGCUCACCAAGGCGAUGACGGGUAGCCGGCCUGAGAGGGCGACCGGCCACACUGGGACUGAGACACGGCCCAGACUCCUACGGGAGGCAGCAGUGGGGAAUAUUGCACAAUGGGCGAAAGCCUGAUGCAGCGACGCCGCGUGAGGGAUGACGGCCUUCGGGUUGUAAACCUCUUUCAGUAGGGAAGAAGCGAAAGUGACGGUACCUGCAGAAGAAGCGCCGGCUAACUACGUGCCAGCAGCCGCGGUAAUACGUAGGGCGCAAGCGUUGUCCGGAAUUAUUGGGCGUAAAGAGCUUGUAGGUGGCUUGUCGCGUCUGCCGUGAAAACCCGAGGCUCAACCUCGGGCGUGCGGUGGGUACGGGCAGGCUAGAGUGUGGUAGGGGAGACUGGAACUCCUGGUGUAGCGGUGAAAUGCGCAGAUAUCAGGAAGAACACCGAUGGCGAAGGCAGGUCUCUGGGCCAUUACUGACACUGAGAAGCGAAAGCAUGGGGAGCGAACAGGAUUAGAUACCCUGGUAGUCCAUGCCGUAAACGUUGGGCACUAGGUGUGGGGAGCAUUCCACGUUUUCCGCGCCGUAGCUAACGCAUUAAGUGCCCCGCCUGGGGAGUACGGCCGCAAGGCUAAAACU